CUUCUCUCUCUUUUUUAUUCUUUCCAUUUCCUUUAGUCUCUCAUGUUCCUCCCUCUCUCUCUCUCUCUCUCUCUCUCUCUCUCUCUCUGUGUGAAAUAUCUUUUAUUUAAUAAUAUCAUUCUAUACUUAUAUAAAAAAAUCUUAUAAUUAAAUAUUAGUUUUCUUAUCUCUCUUUCUCACACAUGGGAGAAGGGGUUCAUUCUAUCCUAAAAACACUAGCUGUGCUGCUCGAUAUUUUCUUUAUUCGUUGUUCGGUUGCUGUUUUUUCGAGGCAGAUCCGCAAGGAGAUCGAAGGUUUAUUUGAUCCUUACUUCCUUAGUCGAAGAAGUUUCUUGUUGAUUUGAAUGAUGCUUGAGAUGGAUCUAAUCGAUCUUCGUUUUUCUGGCGUACGAUUUCCGAUUGUAUUUCAGGAAAAAAUUGUGAGGUUAUUAUUCCGUGGAUUUUGUAUUCUACUGUUCUCUUCCUUUCCUCCCUUUGCACAUCUGAAUCAAUAAUAUUAAACCUAUUCUUUUUAGGUUGUCUUUGUUCAUAUAUAUCCCAUGGACCAUAUUUUCAAUUGCUUACAAUGGUUUUAAGUUUUCAUGUGGAAAUUCACACAAUAUCAUCUAAUUGGCAUUCCACAGUGCCGUUUUUUAAGAUCUGCAAUUAAUGGUAAGUUGGUUUGUUUAGUAUAUCCAUCAUGAGCAAUAUACAUUAUUAAGUAAUGGAACCAAUAUUUGAAUGUAAAUACUUUAAAAUAAGUUGAAAUUUAUAUCUAAAUAUUUGGCCACAUGUUUUGCAUCGUGAUUGGUCAUCUUCUUGAAGAGAAGUGAUGGGCUAAUGAGUCCAUCACAGAGUAAUAAAUAAUCCCCUUUGAGUUUAUUCCUGAGAAAUAAGGAAAACUUUCUUUUCAAUAUACAGCUUCAGUAUCAAAUUCUAGACUUGAGCUAGAUUCACUGACAUCUUCAUAUUUCUAACAUUGGGUUUCUGUUUUUUGGAGACUUUCUAGGAGCAAUUUUUCCAUUUAAAAGGAUUGGCAUGGCAUACUUGAGCACUCAAGAUUAUCUAGCUGUUGAUACCAUAUUAUCAGCCACAGAUUCUGAUUGCACAUUACAGGUUAUUAUGAUAAUGUCUAAAUAGAUCCAAAACAGUACUUGUGACUUAACAAUUAAAGAUAUGCUUCUAAUAUAUCUCAUCUUCGCUGUGUAAUAAAGGUUCUCAGUCAAGACAAGAAACCCUUACUUCAUAUAUAGUCUUGUGUUCGGUGAGGGAGUAGUGAAUGAUGCAACCUCAAUUGUACUCAUGCUUUCCUCUUUGUUUUUAACUAUUUGAUGUAUUGAACAUGUUAUGUGGUCAUGAACUAUUACACGAAACAUGAUGGUCCAAUUUGAGUGCUUUCCAGCCA
Molecule: RNA transcript, 1384 nt
Organism: Macadamia integrifolia
Lineage: Eukaryota; Viridiplantae; Streptophyta; Magnoliopsida; Proteales; Proteaceae
Gene name: sodium/hydrogen exchanger 4-like
Exons: 5
Source: RefSeq, a predicted model, not a curated record